UAGGGAAUCUUCCGCAAUGGGCGAAAGCCUGACGGAGCAACGCCGCGUGAGUGAUGAAGGUCUUCGGAUCGUAAAACUCUGUUAUUAGGGAAGAACAAAUGUGUAAGUAACUAUGCACGUCUUGACGGUACCUAAUCAGAAAGCCACGGCUAACUACGUGCCAGCAGCCGCGGUAAUACGUAGGUGGCAAGCGUUAUCCGGAAUUAUUGGGCGUAAAGCGCGCGUAGGCGGUUUUUUAAGUCUGAUGUGAAAGCCCACGGCUCAACCGUGGAGGGUCAUUGGAAACUGGAAAACUUGAGUGCAGAAGAGGAAAGUGGAAUUCCAUGUGUAGCGGUUAAAUGCGCAGAGAUAUGGAGGAACACCAGUGGCGAAGGCGACUUUCUGGUCUGUAACUGACGCUGAUGUGCGAAAGCGUGGGAAUCAAACAGG
This 429-nucleotide ribosomal RNA is filed under the name Bacteroidota bacterium. RNAcentral's name for it is "Bacteroidetes bacterium partial 16S ribosomal RNA". It matches the Rfam family "Bacterial small subunit ribosomal RNA", at positions 355 to 776 of the family's 1533-position model. The record is from RNAcentral. Lineage: Bacteria; Pseudomonadati; Bacteroidota.